UGAACACUGAGCAGACAUGGAAGCUGUAGCUGGACUGUUGUUGAUGUUGUUCGGAGUUUCUCGUGCUUCUGUGUCCUCUGUCCUGCUGGUCUCUGAGUGUCUGUCCCAGGGAGAGAUGAGGGUGUCCUGCUCCUCUGAGGGAGGGGACAGUCCUCACUACAGCUGGACUCUGGAUGGACGCACACUGACAGAUGCUGAGAUCCUUUCUGGAAAUAAUGAGAGUAACAUCAUCACACUGAAACAGCACGUGUCAGGAUAUCUGGCCUGCUCAGUCAGCAACAACAUCAGUAAUGUCUUCAAUAAAGAGAGGAUAUCUACUUGUGGCUUUAUUUUCAUUAACUGCACUUCAGUCAGCGGGACACAGAUAUCAGAGUGUGUGCAUAAAACUAAUAACACUGUGUGUACUGAACCAGCGCAAAGUUCUGUGGGCAAUAUGUCAUUGAUUGGUGGUGGUCUCUCAGCUCUGGUAAUUUUCAUAGCUGUGAGUGCAGCGAUCAUCUGCUCAGAGAAAAAGCAAAACGACAAACGCUUAAAACAAAACGAAAAUGGAGAUGGCCAAGAAGUCUAUGCUGAUGUUGGUGUUGUGGCAGGUGAAGCAAAGGGAGAAAAUAGCAGAGCUGGAGUUAAUCAAGUCUUCAAAAUGAACUUGCCAGACUGAAACAAUAGGAGAUGGUUUUGUGUAUGCUAACAUCCAAAAAACGUACGGUAAUUUAAGCGGUCACUACUUUUACAUAGACUGCAUCACUCAAGGUCCAUGGAGGGAGGAGGUGAUGCCAAGAUGCCUAGAGGUCUUUCAGUUAAUGUGAUUUCCCAUCAGACAAAUAUAAACCAUCAAGGAUCACACUUAUUGAUUUAUUAAUUUAUCUUAUUUUCACUGUAUUGUACAAAAUGGUUCUGUUGUUAGGGAACCUCUACAUUUACUGUUACACUACUACUGUGACUGUUUUCCACACUAUUUUUAAAUAAUUACAUUUAAAAUAAUUUAAAUCAUUACAUUUUGUAAAAAGUUCAGUGCAGAAAAACUUUUGGUCAUUGAUGAAAGAUCCGAAUGCCCACAGCUGACUUUUCAGCCACAGAAGAAGAGAACACAUUAUAUUAAAGGUUUGUGGUUGUAUUUUUUCUUUGAUAUCUGCACAAUAAAUUUUACAGUCAAAACAAAAGUAAUUUCCUAACUUAUUUAAGUACGGUUGUGGUGGGCCGUGGUAAGCGGUGUCACUGCAGGGGAGGGAGCACCUGAACAGCAUCCGCAAUCACCCUUCACCAGCUUAAAGUCUGUGUUCUAACUGUUGUCAUUGCUGUUGGUGGUGAUGUGUGUGGCUGGCAGCUGUAGAGCUGCAGCCGUGUGUUUGUGACAGCAACCGUGAGAGAGUAAAAGUGUCAAUAAAGUAUGCUGAAAAGCAUGUUCAUGUAUGAAUCAUCAAAUCUGCUGUGGUAUGUUUACAACAGUUUAGUUCAAAUUUAUGUAACAUUAAUUCAUAACGUAUGUCAUCUCAAGAAACAUUACACAAUAAAACCUGACAGUAUUAUAUAUUUG
Molecule: long non-coding RNA, 1534 nt
Organism: Oreochromis aureus
Lineage: Eukaryota; Metazoa; Chordata; Actinopteri; Cichliformes; Cichlidae
Source: Ensembl